This 653-nucleotide ribosomal RNA is filed under the name Kineococcus sp. Its description in RNAcentral is "bacterial SSU rRNA". It matches the Rfam family "Bacterial small subunit ribosomal RNA", at positions 188 to 853 of the family's 1533-position model. The record is from RNAcentral. Lineage: Bacteria; Bacillati; Actinomycetota; Actinomycetes; Kineosporiales; Kineosporiaceae.
GCAUGGUGUGUGGGUGGAAAGUUUUUCGGCUGGGGAUGGGCUCGCGGCCUAUCAGCUUGUUGGUGGGGUGAUGGCCUACCAAGGCGACGACGGGUAGCCGGCCUGAGAGGGCGACCGGCCACACUGGGACUGAGACACGGCCCAGACUCCUACGGGAGGCAGCAGUGGGGAAUAUUGCACAAUGGGCGAAAGCCUGAUGCAGCGACGCCGCGUGAGGGAUGACGGCCUUCGGGUUGUAAACCUCUUUCAGCUCCGAAGAAGCGCAAGUGACGGUAGGAGCAGAAGAAGCACCGGCUAACUACGUGCCAGCAGCCGCGGUAAUACGUAGGGUGCAAGCGUUGUCCGGAAUUAUUGGGCGUAAAGAGCUCGUAGGCGGUGUGUCGCGUCUGCUGUGAAAACUCAGGGCUCAACUCUGAGCUUGCAGUGGGUACGGGCACACUAGAGUGCUGUAGGGGAGACUGGAAUUCCUGGUGUAGCGGUGAAAUGCGCAGAUAUCAGGAGGAACACCGGUGGCGAAGGCGGGUCUCUGGGCAGUUACUGACGCUGAGGAGCGAAAGCAUGGGGAGCGAACAGGAUUAGAUACCCUGGUAGUCCAUGCCGUAAACGUUGGGCGCUAGGUGUGGGGUCCAUUCCACGGAUUCCGUGCCGCAGCU